This 1254-nucleotide ribosomal RNA is filed under the name Triticum aestivum (bread wheat). Its description in RNAcentral is "partial small subunit ribosomal RNA". The record is from RNAcentral. Lineage: Eukaryota; Viridiplantae; Streptophyta; Magnoliopsida; Poales; Poaceae.
AUGCGCCGGGCCGCCGCCGCCGCCACCGCCAGGACCAGGAUCGGGAUGGCGGCGGAGGAGGUCAGGCAGGCGUCCGCGGCCGCCACGGCGGCCGAGGCCGCGUCCGCGUCGGUGCCGGCCCCCGCGGGCUCCCGCUGGGCGCGGGUCUGGCCCUCCGCGCUGCGCUGGAUCCCCACCUCCACCGAACGCAUCAUCGCCGCCGAGAAGCGCCUCCUCUCCAUCCUCAAAACUGGGUAUGUCCAAGAACAAGUCAACAUUGGCUCUGCUCCACCUGGGUCAAAAGUAAAAUGGUUUAGGUCAUCAAGUGAUGAGCCAAGGUUCAUCAAUACAGUGACAUUUGAUAGCAAGGAGAAUGCUCCCACCCUUGUCAUGGUCCAUGGUUAUGGUGCUUCACAGGGGUUCUUCUUUAGAAACUUUGAUGCCCUUGCAAGCCGUUUCCGGGUGAUUGCCAUCGACCAGCUUGGUUGGGGUGGAUCAAGCAGACCUGACUUUGACUGUAGAAGUACUGAAGAAACCGAGGCCUGGUUCAUAGAUUCUUUUGAGGAAUGGCGCAAAGCAAAAAACCUCAGUAAUUUUAUAUUGCUUGGUCAUUCUUUCGGAGGAUAUGUUGCGGCAAAGUAUGCCUUACAGCAUCCUGAACAUGUUCAGCACUUGAUUUUGGUUGGUUCUGCUGGCUUUUCGUCAGAAACAGAUCAUAGUUCUGAGUGGUUAACCAAGUUCCGUGCAACGUGGAAAGGCAUGCUAGUAAACCAUCUUUGGGAGUCCAAUUUUACUCCUCAAAGAAUUGUGAGAGGAUUAGGUCCUUGGGGCCCAGAUUUAGUUCGGAGAUAUACCACUGCUAGGUUUGGCUCACAUUCAACAGGUGAAUUACUAACAGAAAAUGAGUCCUCCUUGCUGACAGAUUACAUUUACCACACUUUAGCUGCCAAAGCUAGUGGAGAGCUGUGCUUAAAACAUAUUUUUUCCUUGGGGGCAUUUGCAAGGAAACCACUUCUGCACAGUGCAUCCGACUGGAAAGUGCCAACUACUUUCAUAUAUGGUCAUGACGAUUGGAUGAAUUACCAAGGGGCGCAGCAAGCACGCAAGGACAUGAAAGUUCCUUGCGAAAUCAUCAGAGUCCCACAGGGAGGACAUUUUGUGUUUAUAGAUAACCCUGCGGGGUUCCACUCGGCGAUCUUCUACGCGUGCCGGAAAUUUUUAUCUGGAGAUGCAGGGGAGGGUCUCUCGCUUCCUGAUGGCUUGAUAUCUGCAUGA